RNAcentral lists this transfer RNA (77 nucleotides) under Clostridium sp. C105KSO13. RNAcentral describes it as "tRNA-Arg". It matches the Rfam family "tRNA". Rfam says of the family: Transfer RNA (tRNA) molecules are approximately 80 nucleotides in length. Their secondary structure includes four short double-helical elements and three loops (D, anti-codon, and T loops). Further hydrogen bonds mediate the characteristic L-shaped molecular structure. tRNAs have two regions of fundamental functional importance: the anti-codon, which is responsible for specific mRNA codon recognition, and the 3' end, to which the tRNAs corresponding amino acid is attached (by aminoacyl-tRNA synthetases). tRNAs cope with the degeneracy of the genetic code in two manners: having more than one tRNA (with a specific anti-codon) for a particular amino acid; and 'wobble' base-pairing, i.e. permitting non-standard base-pairing at the 3rd anti-codon position. Lineage: Bacteria; Bacillati; Bacillota; Clostridia; Eubacteriales; Clostridiaceae. The record is from RNAcentral.
UGUGCGCGUAGCUCAGCUGGAUAGAGCGUCUGGCUACGGACCAGAAGGCCGGGAGUUCGAAUCUUCUCGCGCACGUC